Molecule: unclassified non-coding RNA, 220 nt
Filed under: uncultured Actinomycetes bacterium
Lineage: Bacteria; Bacillati; Actinomycetota; Actinomycetes
Description: uncultured actinobacterium contains 16S-23S intergenic spacer region
Source: RNAcentral
UCCGAGUUGACCCCGGCAGUCUCCCAUGAGUCCCCGGCAUCACCCGCUGGCAACAUGGAACAAGGGUUGCGCUCGUUGCGGGACUUAACCCAACAUCUCACGACACGAGCUGACGACAGCCAUGCACCACCUGCACACCAACCACAAAGGAACGCCUAUCUCUAAACGCGUCUGGCGCAUGUCAAACCCAGGUAAGGUGGGGAUGACGUUAGUCAGUCAA